This 602-nucleotide ribosomal RNA is filed under the name Cicindela (Rivacindela) sp. JP-14a. Its description in RNAcentral is "partial 16S ribosomal RNA". It matches the Rfam family "Bacterial large subunit ribosomal RNA", at positions 1844 to 2726 of the family's 2925-position model. Lineage: Eukaryota; Metazoa; Arthropoda; Insecta; Coleoptera; Carabidae. The record is from RNAcentral.
UUUAAGGUCUAACCUGCCCAAUGAGGAUUUAAAUGGCCGCAGUAUUUUGACUGUGCAAAGGUAGCAUAAUUAUUAGUUUUUUAAUUGAAAGCUUGUAUGAAGGGUUGGACGAGAUGAAAUCUGUCUUUAUUUAAAUUAAAAUAUAAUUUAACUUUUAAGUAAAAAGGCUUAAAUGUUUAUAAAAGACGAGAAGACCCUAUAGAUCUUUAUUUAAUUGAAAUUUUAAUAAUUUAGGAUUAUUUUAAUUUAAAGUUUUAAUUAAAUUUUAUUGGGGUAAUAUAAAGAUUAAAUAAAUUCUUUUUAUUUAUAACAUUGAUUUAUGAAUAUAUGAUCCAUUAAUAUUGAUUAUAAGAUUAAGUUACCUUAGGGAUAACAGCGUAAUUUUUUUGGAGAGCUCAUAUCGAUAAAAAAGUUUGCGACCUCGAUGUUGGAUUAAAAAUUAGCUUGGGUGCAGAAGCUCAAGAUUUUGGUCUGUUCGACCAUUAAAUUUUUACAUGAUCUGAGUUCAGACCGGCGUAAGCCAGGUCGGUUUCUAUCUUUAUUAAAAUAAAAUAUUUUAGUACGAAAGGACCAAAUAUUUAGUAUAAUUAUAUUUAUUUUUU